UAAGGAAUAUUGGUCAAUGGACGCAAGUCUGAACCAGCCAUGCCGCGUGAAGGAUGAAGGUCCUCUGGAUUGUAAACUUCUUUUAUCUGGGACGAAAACGGGAUUUUUAUCUCAAUUGACGGUACCAGAGGAAUAAGCACCGGCUCACUCCGUGCCAGCAGCCGCGGUAAUACGGAGGGUGCGAGCGUUAUCCGGAUUUACUGGGUUUAAAGGGUGCGUAGGUGGGCUUAUAAGUCAGUGGUGAAAUCUCCGAGCUUAACUUGGAAACUGCCGUUGAUACUAUAGGUCUUGAAUUAUCUGGAGGUCAGCGCAAUAUGUCAUGUUGCGGUGAAAUGCUUAGAUAUGACAUGGAAAACCAAUUGCGAAGGCAGCUUACUACAUAUAAAUUGACGCUGAGGCACGAAAGCGUGGGGAUCAAACA
This 421-nucleotide ribosomal RNA is filed under the name uncultured bacterium. RNAcentral's name for it is "bacterial SSU rRNA". It matches the Rfam family "Bacterial small subunit ribosomal RNA", at positions 355 to 774 of the family's 1533-position model. The record is from RNAcentral.